ACUGGAAAUAAUAAUUGCAGUGUACAAGGGACUGAAACUUGAUGAUCAGUUGCAGAAGUCUCAUUGACUCUACGGGGAUCAUGAAACACAUGAAACCAAUCAAUACUCCUCCAGCGGAACAAAUUCUUUUCCCAGCAACCACAAUGAAUAAACAAGUUUCAAGUGACAUCGAGACUACUUGGGAUUCUUUCUGAUUCAGUUGUGCACAUAUGGACUGAUGCCAGUGGAACCAAUGGAAUGUCUCUGGAUAUACAUUCACUGUGACUGAGGUAUCCCCAAUGAUUUGAUCAGUUAAAAUAGCUGAAUGAAGCUGAACCAGGGCAGAGGACAUAAAGGAAGGCUGUGGCAAGACAGGAAACAUGUCCCUAAAAAUCCAGUAACUCUUGCAGCAAGAAGAUGUGGUCCCAAAUAAUGUGCCUGGAUGUGCUGUCGUGGAAAGAUGUGGCGUGGCUUCCUUUACAACG
This is a long non-coding RNA of Lepidothrix coronata (blue-crowned manakin), 464 nucleotides long. RefSeq lists it as uncharacterized. The transcript is spliced from 5 exons. Lineage: Eukaryota; Metazoa; Chordata; Aves; Passeriformes; Pipridae. The record is from RefSeq and is a predicted model, not a curated record.